This 303-nucleotide long non-coding RNA is filed under the name Elaeis guineensis (African oil palm). RNAcentral's name for it is "long non-coding RNA (EGUI_LNC049531)". Lineage: Eukaryota; Viridiplantae; Streptophyta; Magnoliopsida; Arecales; Arecaceae. The record is from RNAcentral.
GGGGCACCUAAAUCAGUCAUACUGAUUUUCUAUUUAGCAUAGGUCAACCUCAAUCAUUAAGUGAUCUAAUCAAAAUAUGAUUGACCAUAUUGGUCAGAUAAGUGAAAUCGAUGGGAGGGAUAUGCCAUUAACUUAUCAUAGACUUAAUCUAUGCGAGUAGCUCUCAAUUAGUGACCAUCGAUCAAGACCGCCAAACUUAUCUUAGACACCAACUGGUUAACCAGUUUCAAUUUGAUAAACUUAUAGACUUGGCUUCGACCACAGAGCUAUAAUCAAAGUUCAUUUUGGUCUAGUCAAAGAUAU